UUUCCGGUUGAUCCUGCCGGGACCUGACUGCUAUCGGAUUGAUACUAAGCCAUGCGAGUCAUUGUAGUAAUACAAGGCAGACGGCUCAGUAACGCGUAGUCAACCUACCCUAUGGACGGGAAUAACCUCGGGAAACUGAGUAUAAUGCCCGAUAGAACACUAUACCUGGAAUGGUUUGUGUUCCAAAUGAAUGUCGCCGUAGGAUGGGACUGCGGCCUAUCAGUUUGUUGGUGAGGUAAUGGCCCACCAAGACUAUUACAGGUACGGGCUCUGAGAGGAGUAGCCCGGAGAUGGGUACUGAGACACGGACCCAGGCCCUAUGGGGCGCAGCAGGCGAGAAAACUUUGCAAUGUGCGAAAGCACGACAAGGUUAAUCCGAGUGGUUUGUGCUAAACGAACCUUUUGACAGUCCUAGAAACACUGUUGAAUAAGGGGUGGGCAAGUUCUGGUGUCAGCCGCCGCGGUAAAACCAGCACCUCAAGUGGUCAGGAUGAUUAUUGGGCCUAAAGCAUCCGUAGCCGGCUCUGUAAGUUUUCGGUUAAAUCUGUACGCUCAACGUACAGGCUGCCGGGAAUACUGCAGAGCUAGGGAGUGGGAGAGGUAGACGGUACUCGGUAGGAAGGGGUAAAAUCCUUUGAUCUAUUGAUGACCACCUGUGGCGAAGGCGGUCUACCAGAACACGUCCGACGGUGAGGGAUGAAAGCUGGGGGAGCAAACCGGAUUAGAUACCCGGGUAGUCCCAGCUGUAAACUAUGCAAACUCAGUGAUGCAUUGGCUUGUGGCCAAUGCAGUGCUGCAGGGAAGCCGUUAAGUUUGCCGCCUGGGAAGUACGUACGCAAGUAUGAAACUUAAAGGAAUUGGCGGGGGAGCACCACAAGGGGUGAAGCCUGCGUUCAAUUGGAUUCAACGCCGGG
Molecule: ribosomal RNA, 914 nt
Filed under: uncultured archaeon
Lineage: Archaea
Description: bacterial SSU rRNA
Rfam family: Archaeal small subunit ribosomal RNA
Source: RNAcentral